UACGUAGGGUGCGAGCGUUAAUCGGAAUUACUGGGCGUAAAGUGUGCGCAGGCGGCCGCGCAAGUCGAGUGUGAAAGCCCCGGGCUUAACUUGGGAAUUGCGCUCGAAACUACGUGGCUGGAGUAUGGCAGAGGAAGGUGGAAUUCCACGUGUAGCGGUGAAAUGCGUAGAGAUGUGGGGGAACACCGAUGGCGAAGGCAGCCUUCUGGGCCAAUACUGACGCUCAUGCACGAAAGCGUGGGGAGCAAACAGG
RNAcentral lists this ribosomal RNA (253 nucleotides) under uncultured bacterium. Its description in RNAcentral is "partial 16S ribosomal RNA". It matches the Rfam family "Bacterial small subunit ribosomal RNA", at positions 524 to 776 of the family's 1533-position model. The record is from RNAcentral.